This 450-nucleotide ribosomal RNA is filed under the name uncultured organism. RNAcentral's name for it is "partial 16S ribosomal RNA". It matches the Rfam family "Bacterial small subunit ribosomal RNA", at positions 333 to 799 of the family's 1533-position model. The record is from RNAcentral.
ACACUCCUGCGGGAGGCAGCAGUGGGGAAUAUUGGACAGUGGGCGCAAGCCUGAUCCAGCCAUGCCGCGUGAGUGAUGAAGGCCCUAGGGUUGUAAAGCUCUUUCACCGGUGAAGAUAAUGACGGUAACCGGAGAAGAAGCCCCGGCUAACUUCGUGCCAGCAGCCGCGGUAAUACGAAGGGGGCUAGCGUUGUUCGGAUUUACUGGGCGUAAAGCGCACGUAGGCGGACUAUUAAGUCAGGGGUGAAAUCCCGGGGCUCAACCCCGGAACUGCCUGUGAUACUGGUAGUCUUGAGUUCGAGAGAGGUGAGUGGAAUUCCGAGUGUAGAGGUGAAAUUCGUAGAUAUUCGGAGGAACACCAGUGGCGAAGGCGGCUCACUGGCUCGAUACUGACGCUGAGGUGCGAAAGCGUGGGGAGCAAACAGGAUUAGAAACCCGAGUAGUCCCAUG